This 397-nucleotide long non-coding RNA is filed under the name Nicotiana tabacum (common tobacco). RNAcentral's name for it is "long non-coding RNA (NTAB_LNC018173)". The record is from RNAcentral. Lineage: Eukaryota; Viridiplantae; Streptophyta; Magnoliopsida; Solanales; Solanaceae.
UGCUGACGUGUCAGCGUUGCUGUCUUUCUAAAAAUCCAAUCAUGUAAAAGCCUAUCCUUAAAUUUGCUCUUUCUUCCACACUCUCCUUUCUUUUCUUUACUUUUCUCUUCUCUGGCUUCAUAAGAAUUCCCUGUUUGUGCACCAAAUUCUUUUUCAGGUUUAUAGCUGACUGGUGGCGAACUGCGGAAAGAGCAGGUGUGCCAAUAAACAUGUGUAAAACUUGGAAAGCCUGUAGAUUAAGAGAGAGACACCAAACACAAUUUUGCUACAGAAUUAUGCAGUAGUAAUAGUUACACUCUGAGCACAAUAUUGCAGCAGAAUCAAAAGUUCAAUGAACAAUCAAUCGACUAGAUCUGUAUCCAAAACUAUAUAAGUCAUCUGUUUAUGUUUAGAGGAU